UAACGCGUAGACAACCUGCCUUCUACAUGGGGACAACACUGCCAAAGUGGUGCUAAUACCGAAUGUUGUAUUGAGCCUGCAUGGGCUCGAUACUAAAGGUGGCCUCUAUUUAUAAUCUAUCACUAGAAGAUGGGUCUGCGUCUGAUUACCUAGUUGGUGAGGUAAUGGCUCACCAAGGCGAUGAUC
This 186-nucleotide ribosomal RNA is filed under the name uncultured Bacillota bacterium. RNAcentral's name for it is "uncultured Firmicutes bacterium partial 16s rRNA". It matches the Rfam family "Bacterial small subunit ribosomal RNA", at positions 111 to 281 of the family's 1533-position model. The record is from RNAcentral. Lineage: Bacteria; Bacillati; Bacillota.